GUCUGCAAUUCGACUACGUGAAGUCGGAGUCGCUAGUAAUCGCAGAUCAGCAACGCUGCGGUGAAUACGUUCCCGGGCCUUGUACACACCGCCCGUCACACCACGAGAGUUUGUAACACCCGAAGCCGGUGGAGUAACCUUUUAGGAGCUAGCCGUCGAAGGUGGGACAAAUGAUUGGGGUGAAGUCGUAACAAGGUAGCCGUAUCGGAAGGUGCGGCUGGAUCACCUCCUU
This 232-nucleotide ribosomal RNA is filed under the name Dunaliella tertiolecta. Its description in RNAcentral is "partial Bacterial small subunit ribosomal RNA". It matches the Rfam family "Bacterial small subunit ribosomal RNA", at positions 1303 to 1532 of the family's 1533-position model. The record is from RNAcentral. Lineage: Eukaryota; Viridiplantae; Chlorophyta; Chlorophyceae; Chlamydomonadales; Dunaliellaceae.